GGUGGAGUUAAUCACCUGAGUGAGUUCUCUGGGGCUUGCAGAUCUCAGGAUGAAGGCUGCAGGGUGUUGGGAGAACUGCUCAGUCAGGCUGUGCUCUCUGCCAGUGGAGCUUACUUGCACGCAGGAAAAAUACCCUUGAAAGUCUCUGGAAGAGUCUGCCACCUCUUCACUAGGACACAGUCAUCCUUUUCAGCUAAUAGCCCUGUGCUGGGUGUCAGCAUUGUGCCUGGAUCUUCAUCUCAAUGAUUAUCAAGCAAAUGGUUAAAAUCAAGGAGUUUUUAAGAGUAGAAGACCUCCCCCUGAUCAUCCAGCUCUAUGAGACCAAGUGCAGCCUGUUACAAGGUCCAAGGUACAGCUUGAUUUUAAACAUCUGCUGAAGUGCUUUUGUACUUUGAGUUGCUGGGAAAAAGUUACUGGUAUUCCUGGGUGGCAAUCUGUAAUUCACACCCGUCAGCAGAAAUGGGCAACAUGCUUCUCCUGGCCUUGGAGCCCACAGCUCGAUCUUGGUGUCCAUCUGGCCGUGGGUUUUGAGCCCCAGCCGAUAUUGCGUGUGCUUCUUGGACAAUCCCGCCUUUUUACGCACUUGCUGUUCCCUGACCCGCUGGCAGAGCCGCUUGCCCCCAUUAUUCAUCCUGACACACUUUGUAAUGCAUGGAGCCAGCCUGCGGCAUCCAGCCUGCAAAUUUCCCCAAGGCUGCAGAAAGGGGGAAAGAAAUAACCUGCAAGCAUAAGGACAUGCACGCAAACACGCUGUUCAUGUGUUUUCACACACUACGUGUGCAUGCAGACAUUUAUUCCUGCUCAUCUGCACACACAUAUGCAUUUUUUGGAUACUUGUAUCCCACCGGAUGAAAACCCGGAAAGUGGAAAAUGUGUUGAUAAAUAUAAGGGAACUUGUCAGGGCCUUUGAUUUGAAGCUGCAUCUUGUAGCAGCUUUCCAGUGUUGGGAUAAGAUAGGGAGAGGAAAGAGGGAAGAGAAAGCAAGAGUCAGGGGUAAAAGGAACAGAAUAGAGGGAAAAAGAGCAGGGGUGGAGAGAAAAAAAGUGGGGGCGAGAAAGGAAAAGGAAAAGUACAGAUAGCAAUGCUGCUGGAGUUUGUAUACCUUAACAUCUGAAAGGUCCAAAAGUUCUUGACCUAUAUUCCCUGUUGCAGAAGUGUAGUACAACAACACAGCAUGGUUUGUUUAAAACAUGGAAACUUGACUUCAUUCUUAUGUUUUGGAGAAAGAUUUCGCAAUGGCGCUGAGGAGAGAAAGCGAAAAGAUUUAGCUGUUCCCCCUUACAAUCUCCCUCCCUCUGCCUUUUGGCGUGCUUGAAAUCAAACCCACUUGCUUCUGAAAUAUUGUAGCAUUGCUGUUUUGAUGGAGCUAGGCUUGAAUUAAAACUUAAAAAGAAAAUCAACCUCAAAUCCACCGGGACAGGAUGCUGGUAUUUAUAAUAAAGUGGGUUUAUAGACUGAAUGGUUUGACAUCUCAUAUACAGUCUGGUGGAAGCACAUGCUGCGGAGCGGUCUGCAAGGGGACAGCUAUCACAUGGUGCUCUGACUCAUUCAGAUGGAUUUUGGUUUCUCUUUGCUGCUUUUUUUUUUAACAUUUCUUUCAUUUAAUUUGGAAGGGACAGAGUCAAGUGCUCUGUUGCAGGAUCUGGUGCACUAAUGGAGUAAACAGUAUUGUGGACAUGUUGGCAAACUCUCAAUUUGACUUGGCUUUGCUGGUCUCCAAAGAGUUAUAUUAUUGGUUAUUUAUGAGUAUGCAGAUGACCUUUGGGCAGUGGGGAAAAUGUUUAUGAAUCUAAAAGGCUUUGCAAACUCUAGAACAAAAGCAUUUUUUUCUCAAAAAAAAAAAAGUGAACUGUGACUUUUUCAUCAUUCAGCCUUGCUUGUUCUCUUAUAUUAAAAGUCUUUGGUCAUUCAUUUGCACUGUAGAAUCAAACCAUGUAGCGCAGGUGAGCAGUCACAUGCCCUGAAUAACAAAAACUAAAAAUCCAAGUGAAAAAGGCAUGUGAGUAGCUCCAAGAGAGCAGCUGGGUUUGUUCAGAGGGCUGGUGAAGGCUGGGUUAUUCAAAGAAGACAAAGGGAGUUAGGUGAU
Long non-coding RNA from Passer domesticus (house sparrow), 2086 nucleotides. RefSeq lists it as uncharacterized. The record is from RefSeq and is a predicted model, not a curated record. NCBI's taxonomy places the organism in Eukaryota, Metazoa, Chordata, Aves, Passeriformes, Passeridae. The transcript has 2 exons.